RNAcentral lists this ribosomal RNA (1537 nucleotides) under Bacteroides fragilis YCH46. RNAcentral's name for it is "bacterial SSU rRNA". It matches the Rfam family "Bacterial small subunit ribosomal RNA". Lineage: Bacteria; Pseudomonadati; Bacteroidota; Bacteroidia; Bacteroidales; Bacteroidaceae. The record is from RNAcentral.
ACUUUUACAAUGAAGAGUUUGAUCCUGGCUCAGGAUGAACGCUAGCUACAGGCUUAACACAUGCAAGUCGAGGGGCAUCAGGAAGAAAGCUUGCUUUCUUUGCUGGCGACCGGCGCACGGGUGAGUAACACGUAUCCAACCUGCCCUUUACUCGGGGAUAGCCUUUCGAAAGAAAGAUUAAUACCCGAUGGCAUAAUGAUUCCGCAUGGUUUCAUUAUUAAAGGAUUCCGGUAAAGGAUGGGGAUGCGUUCCAUUAGGUUGUUGGUGAGGUAACGGCUCACCAAGCCUUCGAUGGAUAGGGGUUCUGAGAGGAAGGUCCCCCACAUUGGAACUGAGACACGGUCCAAACUCCUACGGGAGGCAGCAGUGAGGAAUAUUGGUCAAUGGGCGCUAGCCUGAACCAGCCAAGUAGCGUGAAGGAUGAAGGCUCUAUGGGUCGUAAACUUCUUUUAUAUAAGAAUAAAGUGCAGUAUGUAUACUGUUUUGUAUGUAUUAUAUGAAUAAGGAUCGGCUAACUCCGUGCCAGCAGCCGCGGUAAUACGGAGGAUCCGAGCGUUAUCCGGAUUUAUUGGGUUUAAAGGGAGCGUAGGUGGACUGGUAAGUCAGUUGUGAAAGUUUGCGGCUCAACCGUAAAAUUGCAGUUGAUACUGUCAGUCUUGAGUACAGUAGAGGUGGGCGGAAUUCGUGGUGUAGCGGUGAAAUGCUUAGAUAUCACGAAGAACUCCGAUUGCGAAGGCAGCUCACUGGACUGCAACUGACACUGAUGCUCGAAAGUGUGGGUAUCAAACAGGAUUAGAUACCCUGGUAGUCCACACAGUAAACGAUGAAUACUCGCUGUUUGCGAUAUACAGUAAGCGGCCAAGCGAAAGCAUUAAGUAUUCCACCUGGGGAGUACGCCGGCAACGGUGAAACUCAAAGGAAUUGACGGGGGCCCGCACAAGCGGAGGAACAUGUGGUUUAAUUCGAUGAUACGCGAGGAACCUUACCCGGGCUUAAAUUGCAGUGGAAUGAUGUGGAAACAUGUCAGUGAGCAAUCACCGCUGUGAAGGUGCUGCAUGGUUGUCGUCAGCUCGUGCCGUGAGGUGUCGGCUUAAGUGCCAUAACGAGCGCAACCCUUAUCUUCAGUUACUAACAGGUUAUGCUGAGGACUCUGGAGAGACUGCCGUCGUAAGAUGUGAGGAAGGUGGGGAUGACGUCAAAUCAGCACGGCCCUUACGUCCGGGGCUACACACGUGUUACAAUGGGGGGUACAGAAGGCAGCUAGCGGGUGACCGUAUGCUAAUCCCAAAAGCCUCUCUCAGUUCGGAUCGAAGUCUGCAACCCGACUUCGUGAAGCUGGAUUCGCUAGUAAUCGCGCAUCAGCCACGGCGCGGUGAAUACGUUCCCGGGCCUUGUACACACCGCCCGUCAAGCCAUGGGAGCCGGGGGUACCUGAAGUACGUAACCGCAAGGAUCGUCCUAGGGUAAAACUGGUGACUGGGGCUAAGUCGUAACAAGGUAGCCGUACCGGAAGGUGCGGCUGGAACACCUCCUUUCU